GACGUAGGGUGCGAGCGUUGUCCGGAAUUAUUGGGCGUAAAGGGCUCGUAGGCGGUCUGUCGCGUCGGUAGUGAAAACUCAGGGCUUAACCCUGAGCCUGCUUCCGAUACGGGCAGACUAGAGGUAUGCAGGGGAGAAUGGAAUUCCUGGUGUAGCGGUGAAAUGCGCAGAUAUCAGGAGGAACACCGGUGGCGAAGGCGAGUCUCUGGACAUUUCCUGACGCUGAGGCACGAAAGCCAGGGGAGCAAACGGG
This 253-nucleotide ribosomal RNA is filed under the name uncultured bacterium. RNAcentral describes it as "partial 16S ribosomal RNA". It matches the Rfam family "Bacterial small subunit ribosomal RNA", at positions 524 to 776 of the family's 1533-position model. The record is from RNAcentral.